UGGGGAAUAUUGCACAAUGGGCGCAAGCCUGAUGCAGCCAUGCCGCGUGUAUGAAGAAGGCCUUCGGGUUGUAAAGUACUUUCAGCGAGGAGGAAGGCAUUAAGGUUAAUAACCUUAGUGAUUGACGUUACUCGCAGAAGAAGCACCGGCUAACUCCGUGCCAGCAGCCGCGGUAAUACGGAGGGUGCAAGCGUUAAUCGGAAUUACUGGGCGUAAAGCGCACGCAGGCGGUCUGUUAAGUCAGAUGUGAAAUCCCCCGGGGCUCAACCUGGGAACUGCAUUUGGAAACUGGCAGGCUUGAGUCUUGUAGAGGGGGGUAGAAUUCCAGGUGUAGCGGUGAAAUGCGUUAGAGAUCUGGAGGAAUACCGGUGGCGAAGGCGGCCCCCCUGGACAAAGACUGACGCUCAGGUGCGAAAAGCGUGGGGGGC
RNAcentral lists this ribosomal RNA (428 nucleotides) under uncultured Raoultella sp. Its description in RNAcentral is "bacterial SSU rRNA". It matches the Rfam family "Bacterial small subunit ribosomal RNA", at positions 355 to 769 of the family's 1533-position model. Lineage: Bacteria; Pseudomonadati; Pseudomonadota; Gammaproteobacteria; Enterobacterales; Enterobacteriaceae. The record is from RNAcentral.